GUAAAUAUAGUUUAAAUAAAACCCUAGAUUGUGAAUCUAAUAACGAAGGCUUAAACCCUUCUAUUUACC
Molecule: non-coding RNA, 69 nt
Organism: Microcebus murinus (gray mouse lemur)
Lineage: Eukaryota; Metazoa; Chordata; Mammalia; Primates; Cheirogaleidae
Source: Ensembl